GUUGUCUCUCUUGAGUGGAUCCUGAGUACGACGGAGCACGUGAAAUUCCGUCGGAAUCUGGGAGGACCAUCUCCUAAGGCUAAAUACUCUCUAGUGACCGAUAGUGAACCAGUACCGUGAGGGAAAGGUGAAAAGCACCCCGGAAGGGGAGUGAAAUAGAACCUGAAACCGUGUGCUUACAAGUAGUCAGAGCCCGUUAAUGGGUGAUGGCGUGCCUUUUGUAGAAUGAACCGGCGAGUUACGAUUUGAUGCAAGGUUAAGCAGUAAAUGUGGAGCCGUAGCGAAAGCGAGUCUGAAUAGGGCGUUUAGUAUUUGGUCGUAGAC
RNAcentral lists this ribosomal RNA (324 nucleotides) under Escherichia coli. RNAcentral's name for it is "partial 23S ribosomal RNA". It matches the Rfam family "Bacterial large subunit ribosomal RNA", at positions 387 to 714 of the family's 2925-position model. Lineage: Bacteria; Pseudomonadati; Pseudomonadota; Gammaproteobacteria; Enterobacterales; Enterobacteriaceae. The record is from RNAcentral.